Oncorhynchus nerka (sockeye salmon) is the source of this 3316-nucleotide RNA transcript. It is a transcript of the gene named NADH dehydrogenase [ubiquinone] 1 beta subcomplex subunit 9-like, with no coding region annotated. Lineage: Eukaryota; Metazoa; Chordata; Actinopteri; Salmoniformes; Salmonidae. The transcript has 5 exons. The record is from RefSeq and is a predicted model, not a curated record.
GCUCGCGAGCAGUGUGGGUGCAAUAAUUUAAUAACAUGGAUUUCUUUGCGACGCUCGCGCACGCGACGUGUCCGGCCUGGUCAGCAAAUUGCCAAAUCGCAGACGUCCAAUGUCCCACAAUCCUCCUCGCCGCCGAAGGUGACAGCAGACAGUUUAAAAAAUAUAGUGACACUUCUUACCUUACUCACAAUCAAAAAGUAUUGAGGCACUUUGAAUCAUGGUGUAUUUUUAGGUAAACCAAAGUUGUCGUCGUUGGGAUGAUGUUCAAUGCUCGUAUCGAUUGCAUGGAACCAACUAGAACCUAAUUUACGAGACGUCCCCGUUUUCCGGGGACAGUCCCCGCCUGGAGCCGUCCCCGGACAUGUCCCCGUUUUUAACCAUGCGUUAAAAACGGACCUCAAAGUGAAAUAUUUUACUUGGCAAGAAAGACCGGGCAGCAGAGCCUACCGGUUGACGUCUCAAUCGCAUUGUGUUUGUUUUGUCCAGCAGAGGGGGCUGCUCGCCAAAGCAUCUUUAAUUCACUCUUCUUCUACUAACUACGUGCUCGAGAAAGUUAUAGAGAGAACUGCUGCGGAAGACUCGUCCAGAAGCUAGCAAGUGUCAAGUGAAUCCACAACAUCACCACAAACGUCUUUUCAAGCCAGAUUGGAGAGGAAGGAGAAGGAAAAAUUAAGGGAGUAAAAAGAGUGAAGCAAGGAGAGUUUAGAAGAGUGAGGUGGAAAGGUGAAGAGAAGGAAGAAAAGAGGAGACUGAUCAGGAAGACGAUUGGAGAAGAAAAGUUGAGAGUAAGAAGAGUGACACAAGGAGAGUGAAGAAGAGCAGACAGAGGAGAUACAAUGACUCUUUCCAAGAAACGGAAAUGCACUUAUGAAAAACAUGAGAGAAUUUCCAUUUAUACGCUCAGGUCAAGACGAUAGAAUGGUUCACUGCACCCUUUGUAAUUCCUCUCUUUCAAUUGGCAGCCGGAGAAGAACGGCAGUGUAAAGUCAUCCCAAAAUGUAACCUGGAAAACAUUCUUCUCUGCCGACAACAAAUACCAACUUUGGAGGACUGAAUAGGCUGGGGAGGGUCAAUGUCCAUACCAAAGUAAAACAUUCUCUGCAGCGGGAGGUGAUUGGCUUAGGUGGUCCUGCCCACAUCAUUCAUAACACGGCCAGAACAGCUUUGGAUAUGAUGUUGAGUACCUGCUCACAAAGAUAUUUGGAUAUGUUCAUAUUUUCACUGUCAGAGUAGAGAGACUUGAAAGCCUUUUGUGAGUUUGUUGGCCAGGAGUACCAUAACAUUUUAGGACACAGCAAUGUUCGCUGGCUGUCCAUGCUCCCUGCUCUAGAAAGAGUGCUGAAAAGGUAUGUGCCAUUGAAAUCCUUUUUUCUUUCUGAAGACAAAUGCCCUGUUGUCCUGCAAACAAUGUUCGAAGAUCCACUGACUGAACUUUAGCUGGCCUUUGUCCAUGGAAACCUGACCGUAUUCAGUGGCACGAUCAAGAUGCUUGAAGGCCAGGACCACUGUGCGGUGGAGUCAGCUACAAUUCUGAGAAACGUUGAGGCAAAAUUGACUGUAAGACGUGAUGACAACUUCAUUCCAGUUUGUCAGAGGACUUCUGAGAGAGCUAGAGGAAAAUGGAGCCAUGUCUAAAGAGAGCUUUCUCAAAACAUCCCAAUCGUUCUUCACUACGGCUGUGAACUACUUGCAAGCAUGGGGAAAGCACACAGAUAAUCUAAAAGAUUUACAUCGUCUCCUUUUAAAAAGGCAACCUCAGCGUGAAGAGAUCCAGAAGGCAGCAGGCACACUGCAGGAAAAAUACCCCAAUGUGACCAUCAAUGAGGAGGCCUUGUGUGACGAGGUUACUGGCCUGCAAGAGUUCCUAAAGGGGGGAUCGCUUGAAGAAUGGAAAACGUCUGAGACACCGCUUAGUCAGAGAUGGAGCACGGUGGUUACCCACUUCAAAGAGAAUGACAUCCCGCACCCUAACCUGGCUAGAUUAGCGUCUGUUGACAUGUGCUGGAAGUAAUGCACCAGUCGAGAGAGUGUUCUCCCAAAUAAAUGCUCUAUGGACAGCAGCAAGAAAUAGGUUCACUGUUCCUACCAUCAAGGCCAUGCUUAUUGUGAAGACAAACUUCAACCUCCCCUGCCAGGAGUUCAUGGAGAAGCUGGCCAAAGACAGAAGCAAUCCUGAAGAAAAUGCAUUCUUCUGAGAAAUAUACAUAUUAGAGAUAAAAAACGCUUCUACGCGAGAUUGUGAAGGGCCCACUUCGACAAGGCCAAGGAUGAGAAGGACAUGGUCAAAGCCACUAUGAUGCAGGAGAGGAGGAAAUCUGGUCUAACCAACACACGCAGCCUUACCUCUUCCCUGACUCUCCAGGAGGAACUUCCUAUGAAAGAUAUGAAAUGUACAAGGAGUGCCUUUGAUUUGACGGCCUGCACAUGCGCAGUUCGGUGCGAGAGACCGUUAGACCCUAGGAUGUGUUUCUGUGCAUGAGUUGUGCAACGCCCCCAUGACAUUGCCUACCAGCGUGAACUGGGAUUUCUGUUGGAGAAGUAGUGUCUGUGAUCUUCAUACGGUACGAUCUUUGCUUAUACUGAAAAAAAAGAAAAGUGCCUAGUAUAGUACCAUACUAUGAUUUCUGCCAAAGGUCUGGACCUUAUGGCACAGGAGGUAGUGUGCUUGCUCUAAUUACUGGGCUGCUGAUUCAAUCCUCUUUGCUGUUGACCCUCAAAUGCUACAAUAGUGAAGCCAUGCAUUGUCUGUUUCUGAUUUCUUGUAAUUGUUUUUGCAGGUCCCUGAAUGGUGUCUAGAUCACUGGCAUCCCUCAGACGGCCAUGUAUCCUACUUUGCCAAGAGGGAGCAGUGGAAGAACCUGCGAGAACAGAGCUGGGACAGAGAGGUCCAGGAGCUGCAGGGAGUGACCCCUGCCAUUGGGCCAAGUCGGAGGCCUUACCCCCAGUCCGCAAGAACUGCGACCUGCCCCCUCUGUGGUGGCAGUACGCCACCCGCCCCAGGGAGCGCCCCGUCUUUCAGCCCCCGGAUGACACUACCUGGUAAUAACAGCAAAUGGCAGCUCACCACAGUACCUUCUACCACACAACAGCAUGCAGAUUCCCCUCCUUGUGAAUUUACUGUCCCUCUGUAAAGAUAUUGAUAUAAUGGAAUAGUUUUGGAAGAGGUUGCAGUAAGCUUUGUCAGAAGGUAUUCCACCCUGCCUGAAUUGACAGUAAUUAUUUGGUUGUAAAAGCAGGUGACUUUCAAAUGUACUGUAGCUGUUAUUUUCCCUGUACAAGGACCUCUGUUUAAAUAAAUGAAUAUAAUUUUGGGAAA